GCGCCCCCGGCGCCCACAGGUGCGGCGACCCCGGCUCCCCCGGUUCCCCGAGUGCCUCCCCGGCCGCCGGCCGCCUGAGCCCCGCGAGCAGUAGGAGGGAGAGUCUGGGGCCGGGAGAGGGAUGGCGGAGGAUCAGGGAAAGGGGUGUAGAUGGCACAAUGGCACCUGUUUCUGGUUCCUUCUACACUCCUCUAAAUGUGUUCCGGUUUGUGUCUUUUCACAGUACUCCAAGGGUGCUGCGGCCACUGCAGCAUGGAGGAGUCUCUCGCCCACCUCAGCCUGCGGGUCCUCCAAAUGACACUUGACUGCCCUGGCUUCCCAGACGACUUCUUCGGAUCCCUUGUGCCUCACCUUCAUCCAUCAAUUAAGAUUUGAUAUUUGGCACAUUUGGAGGUCUCUGUGACCCUCUUCCCACAAAUCCCCCAGCACAGCUGCCAUCACCUAUUCU
Balaenoptera musculus (blue whale) is the source of this 448-nucleotide long non-coding RNA. RefSeq lists it as uncharacterized. The transcript has 3 exons. The record is from RefSeq and is a predicted model, not a curated record. NCBI's taxonomy places the organism in Eukaryota, Metazoa, Chordata, Mammalia, Artiodactyla, Balaenopteridae.